GAUGAACGCUGGCGGCGUGCUUAACACAUGCAAGUCGAACGAUGAAGCCCAGCUUGCUGGGUGGAUUAGUGGCGAACGGGUGAGUAACACGUGAGUAACCUGCCCUUGACUCUGGGAUAAGCCUGGGAAACUGGGUCUAAUACUGGAUAUGACUUCUCAUCGCAUGGUGGGGGGUGGAGAGAUUUAUUGGUCUUGGAUGGACUCGCGGCCUAUCAGCUUGUUGGUGAGGUAAUGGCUCACCAAGGCGACGACGGGUAGCCGGCCUGAGAGGGUGACCGGCCACACUGGGACUGAGACACGGCCCAGACUCCUACGGGAGGCAGAAGUGGGGAAUAUUGCACAAUGGGCGCAAGCCUGAUGCAGCGACGCCGCGUGAGGGAUGACGGCCUUCGGGUUGUAAACCUCUUUCAGUAGGGAAGAAGCGAGAGUGACGGUACCUGCAGAAGAAGCGCCGGCUAACUACGUG
This 466-nucleotide ribosomal RNA is filed under the name uncultured bacterium. RNAcentral's name for it is "partial 16S ribosomal RNA". It matches the Rfam family "Bacterial small subunit ribosomal RNA", at positions 28 to 507 of the family's 1533-position model. The record is from RNAcentral.